AUUGAACGCUGGCGGCAGGCCUAACACAUGCAAGUCGAGCGGUAGCACAGGGAGCUUGCUCCUGGGUGACGAGCGGCGGACGGGUGAGUAAUGUCUGGGAAACUGCCUGAUGGAGGGGGAUAACUACUGGAAACGGUAGCUAAUACCGCAUAACGUCGCAAGACCAAAGAGGGGGACCUUCGGGCCUCUUGCCAUCAGAUGUGCCCAGAUGGGAUUAGCUAGUAGGUGGGGUAACGGCUCACCUAGGCGACGAUCCCUAGCUGGUCUGAGAGGAUGACCAGCCACACUGGAACUGAGACACGGUCCAGACUUCUACGGGAGGCAGCAGUGGGGAAUAUUGCACAAUGGGCGCAAGCCUGAUGCAGCCAUGCCGCGUGUAUGAAGAAGGCCUUCGGGUUGUAAAGUACUUUCAGCGGGGAGGAAGGCGAUAAGGUUAAUAACCUUGUCGAUUGACGUUACCCGCAGAAGAAGCACCGGCUAACUCCGUGCCAGCAGCCGCGGUAA
RNAcentral lists this ribosomal RNA (504 nucleotides) under uncultured bacterium. RNAcentral describes it as "partial 16S ribosomal RNA". It matches the Rfam family "Bacterial small subunit ribosomal RNA", at positions 30 to 523 of the family's 1533-position model. The record is from RNAcentral.